GGGCAUAUAGCUCAGUGGUAGAGGGCAUGUUUGGCAUACACAAGGUCCUGGGUUCAACUCCCAGUGCCUCCA
This 72-nucleotide transfer RNA is filed under the name Camelus bactrianus (Bactrian camel). It matches the Rfam family "tRNA". Rfam says of the family: Transfer RNA (tRNA) molecules are approximately 80 nucleotides in length. Their secondary structure includes four short double-helical elements and three loops (D, anti-codon, and T loops). RNAcentral also lists the same sequence under 2 other names. Lineage: Eukaryota; Metazoa; Chordata; Mammalia; Artiodactyla; Camelidae. The record is from Rfam by way of RNAcentral.